UCAUCGAAUCUUUGAACGCACAUUGCGCCCGGUGGUAUUCCGCCGGGCAUGCCUGUUCGAGCGUCAUUAUAACCACUCAAGCCUUGGCUUGGUAUUGGGGUUCGCGGUUCCGCGGCCCUUAAAAUCAGUGGCGGUGCCGGUGGGCUCUAAGCGUAGUAAAUCUCCUCGCUAUAGGGUCCCUCCGGUUGCCUGCCAGAACCCCCCCAUUUUUUCAGGUUGACCUCGGAUCAGGUAGGGAUACCCGCUGAACUUAAGCAUAUCAAUAAGCGGAGGAAAAGAAACCAACAGGGAUUACCUCAGUAACGGCGAGUGAAGCGGUAAUAGCUCAAAUUUGAAAGCUGCCAACAGGCCGCGUUGUAAUUUGUAGAAGAUGCUUUGGGGGUCGGCCUAGUCUAAGUUCCUUGGAACAGGACGUCAUAGAGGGUGAGAAUCCCGUAUGUGAUUAGUGCCGGCUCCCGUGUAAAGCUCUUUCGACGAGUCGAGUUGUUUGGGAAUGCAGCUCAAAAUGGGUGGUAUAUUUCAUCUAAAGCUAAAUAUUGGCCAGAGACCGAUAGCGCACAAGUAGAGUGAUCGAAAGAUGAAAAGCACUUUGGAAAGAGAGUUAAACAGUACGUGAAAUUGUUGAAAGGGAAGCGCUUGCAACCAGACUUGCAGGCGGUCGAUCAUCCGAGGUUCUCCCCGGUGCACUCGAUCGUCUUCAGGCCAGCAUCGGUUUUGGUGGCGGGAUAAAGGCUCUAGGAAUGUGGCUCUUCGGAGUGUUAUAGCCUAGGGUGCAAUGCCGCCUACCGGGACCGAGGACCGCGCUUCGGCUAGGAUGCUGGCGUAAUGGUUGUAAGCGGCCCGUCUUGAAACACGGACCAAGGAGUCUAACAUCUAUGCGAGUGUUUGGGUGUCAAACCCAUACGCGUAAUGAAAGUGAACGGAGGUGAGAGCCCUUUAGGGCGCAUCAUCGACCGAUCCUGAUGUCUUCGGAUGGAUUUGAGUAAGAGCAUAGCUGUUGGGACCCGAAAGAUGGUGAACUAUGCGUGAAUAGGGUGAAGCCAGAGGAAACUCUGGUGGAGGCUCGCAGCGGUUCUGACGUGCAAAUCGAUCGUCAAAUUUGCGUAUAGGGGCGAAAGACUAAUCGAACCAUCUAGUAGCUGGUUCCUGCCGAAGUUUCCCUCAGGAUAGCAGUGUUGUUUUCAGUUUUAUGAGGUAAAGCGAAUGAUUAGAGGCCUUGGGGUUGAAACAACCUUAACCUAUUCUCAAACUUUAAAUAUGUAAGAAGUCCUUGUUGCUUAA
This 1281-nucleotide ribosomal RNA is filed under the name Phialocephala bamuru. RNAcentral describes it as "eukaryotic LSU rRNA". The stretch from base 218 to 1281 matches the Rfam family "Eukaryotic large subunit ribosomal RNA", at positions 1 to 1094 of the family's 3401-position model. The record is from RNAcentral. Lineage: Eukaryota; Fungi; Ascomycota; Leotiomycetes; Helotiales; Mollisiaceae.